UACUACAGCCAUGCCACCCUGAACACACCCGAUCCCAUCUGAUCUCGGAAGCUAAGCAGGGUCGGGCCUGGUUAGUACUUGGAUGGGAGACCACCAAGGAAGACUGGGUGCUGUAGGUG
RNAcentral lists this ribosomal RNA (119 nucleotides) under Pteropus alecto (black flying fox). The record is from RNAcentral. Lineage: Eukaryota; Metazoa; Chordata; Mammalia; Chiroptera; Pteropodidae.